GAUGAACGCUAGCGGCAGGCCUAAUACAUGCAAGUCGAACGAGAUUAAGAGGCUUGCUUCUUAUGAAAGUGGCGCACGGGUGCGUAACGCGUAUGCAACCUACCUCAAUCAGGGGGAUAGCCCGAAGAAAUUCGGAUUAAGACCGCAUAAAAACACAGGAUAGCAUUAUCCAAUGUUCAAAUAUUUAUAGGAUUAAGAUGGGCAUGCGUGUCAUUAGCUAGUUGGCGGGGUAACGGCCCACCAAGGCGACGAUGACUAGGGGAUCUGAGAGGAUGACCCCCCACACUGGUACUGAGACACGGACCAGACUCCUACGGGAGGCAGCAGUAAGGAAUAUUGGUCAAUGGAGGGAACUCUGAACCAGCCAUGCCGCGUGCAGGAAGACAGCCCUCUGGGUCGUAAACUGCUUUUAUUCGGGAAUAAACCUUUCUACGUGUAGGAAGCUGAAUGUACCGAAGGAAUAAGGAUCGGCUAACUCCGU
RNAcentral lists this ribosomal RNA (481 nucleotides) under uncultured bacterium. RNAcentral's name for it is "partial 16S ribosomal RNA". It matches the Rfam family "Bacterial small subunit ribosomal RNA", at positions 28 to 506 of the family's 1533-position model. The record is from RNAcentral.